This is a non-coding RNA of Zootermopsis nevadensis, 73 nucleotides long. Lineage: Eukaryota; Metazoa; Arthropoda; Insecta; Blattodea; Termopsidae. The record is from Rfam.
GCCACGGUGGUUUAGCGGUCAGAACACUAGCCUUGCAAGCCUGGGGUCCCGGGUUCAAUUCCCGGUGGUGCUC